AAAAACAACAGGGAUUGCCUCAGUAACGGCGAGUGAAGCGGCAACAGCUCAAAUUUGAAAUCUGGCUCCUCUGCGGGGUCCGAGUUGUAAUUUGUAGAGGGUGUUUCGGGCGCGGUGCCGGUCUAAGUCCCUUGGAACGGGGCGUCAUAGAGGGUGAGAAUCCCGUAUGCGACCGGCGGCCAACCCCAUGUGAAACCCCUUCGACGAGUCGAGUUGUUUGGGAAUGCAGCUCAAAAUGGGUGGUAAAUUUCAUCUAAAGCUAAAUACCGGCCAGAGACCGAUAGCGCACAAGUAGAGUGAUCGAAAGAUGAAAAGCACUUUGGAAAGAGAGUCAAAAAGUACGUGAAAUUGUUGAAAGGGAAGCGCUUGCAACCAGACCUGCCCGCGGGUGAUCAGCCGUCCCUUCGGGGGCGGUGCACGCGCCCGCGAUCAGGCCAGCAUCGGUUCGGGCGGCCGGAUAAAGGCUUCGGGAACGUAGCUCCCCUCGGGGAGUGUUAUAGCUCGGGGCGCCAUGCGGCCUGCCUGGACCGAGGACCGCGCUCCGGCAAGGAUGCUGGCGUAAUGGUUGUAAGCGGCCCGUCUUGAAACACGGACCAAGGAGUCUAACAUCCAUGCGAGUGUUUGGGCGUCAAACCCAGGCGCGCAAUGAAAGUGAACGGAGGUGGGACCCCCCCGAGGGCGCACCAUCGACCGAUCCAAAUGUCUUCGGAUGGAUUUGAGUACGAGCAUGGCUGUUGGGACCCGAAAGAUGGUGAACUAUGCCUGAAUAGGGUGAAGCCAGAGGAAACUCUGGUGGAGGCUCGCAGCGGUUCUGACGUGCAAAUCGAUCGUCAAAUUUGGGUAUAGGGGCGAAAGACUAAUCGAACCAUUUAGUAGCUGGUUCCAGCCCAACUUUCCCUCAGGAAUCUUUCUUU
Molecule: ribosomal RNA, 914 nt
Filed under: Ikaeria serusiauxii
Lineage: Eukaryota; Fungi; Ascomycota; Lecanoromycetes; Teloschistales; Teloschistaceae
Description: Ikaeria sp. HJMS-2019a partial large subunit ribosomal RNA
Rfam family: Eukaryotic large subunit ribosomal RNA
Source: RNAcentral